This 492-nucleotide ribosomal RNA is filed under the name uncultured bacterium. Its description in RNAcentral is "partial 16S ribosomal RNA". It matches the Rfam family "Bacterial small subunit ribosomal RNA", at positions 29 to 507 of the family's 1533-position model. The record is from RNAcentral.
AGUGAACGCUGGCGGUAGGCCUAACACAUGCAAGUCGAACGGCAGCACAGUAAGAGCUUGCUCUUACGGGUGGCGAGUGGCGGACGGGUGAGGAAUACAUCGGAAUCUACUUUUUCGUGGGGGCUAACGUAGGGAAACUUACGCUACUACCGCAUACGACCUACGGGUGCAAGCAGGGGAUCUUCGGACCUUGCGCGAUUGAAUGAGACGAUGUCGGAUUGGCUAGUUGGCGGGGUAAAGGCCCACCAAGGCGAGGAUCCGUAGCUGGUCUGAGAGGAUGAUCAGCCACACUGGAACUGAGACACGGUCCAGACUCCUACGGGAGGCAGCAGUGGGGAAUAUUGGACAAUGGGCGCAAGCCUGAUCCAGCCAUACCGCGUGGGUGAAGAAGGCCUUCGGGUUGUAAAGCCCUUUUGUUGGGAAAGAAAAGCAGCAGGUUAAUACCCCGCUGUUCUGACGGUACCCAAAGAAUAAGCACCGGCUAACUUCGUG